This 505-nucleotide ribosomal RNA is filed under the name uncultured Isosphaera sp. Its description in RNAcentral is "bacterial SSU rRNA". It matches the Rfam family "Bacterial small subunit ribosomal RNA", at positions 8 to 491 of the family's 1533-position model. The record is from RNAcentral. Lineage: Bacteria; Pseudomonadati; Planctomycetota; Planctomycetia; Isosphaerales; Isosphaeraceae.
AGAGUUUGAUCCUGGCUCAGAACGAACGUUGGCGGCGUGGAUUAGGCAUGCAAGUCGAACGCGAAAGGGUAGCAAUACCCGAGUAAAGUGGCGAACGGGUGAGUAACGCGUAGGAAACCUGCCUUCGAGUGGGGGAUAACACUCCUAACGGGGUGCUAAUACCGCAUGAAACUAAGGGGUCGCAUGGCCCCAUAGUCAAAGGUGGCCUCUAUUUAUAAGCUACCGCUCAAAGAUGGUCCUGCGUCCCAUUAGCUAGUUGGUGAGGUAACGGCUCACCAAGGCUUCGAUGGGUAGCCGAUCUGAGAGGAUGACCGGCCACACUGGGACUGAGAUACGGCCCAGACUCCUACGGGAGGCAGCAGUCGAGAGGCUUCGGCAAUGGGGGAAACCCUGACCGAGCGACGCCGCGUGGAGGAUGAAGGCCUUUGGGUUGUAAACUCCUGUCAUGUGGGAAGAAACGCUACCGUUCGAAUAGGGCGGUAGUUGACGGUACCACAAGAGAGUC